This 468-nucleotide ribosomal RNA is filed under the name uncultured bacterium. RNAcentral describes it as "partial 16S ribosomal RNA". It matches the Rfam family "Bacterial small subunit ribosomal RNA", at positions 28 to 507 of the family's 1533-position model. The record is from RNAcentral.
GACGAACGCUGGCGGCGUGCUUAACACAUGCAAGUCGAACGGAAAGGCCCUGCUUUUGUGGGGUGCUCGAGUGGCGAACGGGUGAGUAACACGUGAGUAACCUGCCCUUGACUUUGGGAUAACUUCAGGAAACUGGGGCUAAUACCGGAUAGGAGCUCCUGCUGCAUGGUGGGGGUUGGAAAGUUUCGGCGGUUGGGGAUGGACUCGCGGCUUAUCAGCUUGUUGGUGGGGUAGUGGCUUACCAAGGCUUUGACGGGUAGCCGGCCUGAGAGGGUGACCGGCCACAAUGGGACUGAGAUACGGCCCAGAAUCCUACGGGAGGCAGCAGUGGGGAAUAUUGCACAAUGGGCGGAAGCCUGAUGCAGCAACGCCGCGUGCGGGAUGACGGCCUUCGGGUUGUAAACCGCUUUCGCCUGUGACGAAGCGUGAGUGACGGUAAUGGGUAAAGAAGCAACGGCUAACUACGUG